This is an unclassified non-coding RNA of Callithrix jacchus (white-tufted-ear marmoset), 286 nucleotides long. It matches the Rfam family "Metazoan signal recognition particle RNA". From Rfam's summary of the family: The signal recognition particle (SRP) is a universally conserved ribonucleoprotein. It is involved in the co-translational targeting of proteins to membranes. The eukaryotic SRP consists of a 300-nucleotide 7S RNA and six proteins: SRPs 72, 68, 54, 19, 14, and 9. The record is from Ensembl. NCBI's taxonomy places the organism in Eukaryota, Metazoa, Chordata, Mammalia, Primates, Cebidae.
GCCAGGCAUGGUGGCGCGUGCCUAAAGUCCCAGCUACUCCGGAGGCUGAGGUGGGAAGAUCGCUUGAGCCCAGGAGUUCCGAGCUGUAGUGCGCUAUGCCACACUAAGUUCAGCAUCAAUACGGUGACCUCCUGGGAGCAGGGGACCACCAGGUUUCUUAAGGAGGGGUGAACUGGCCCAGGUCAGUAACAGCAGAUCAAAACUCCCGUGCUGAUCAGUAGUGGGAUCAUGCCUGUGAAUAGUCACUGCACUCCAGCCUGGGCAACAUAGCAAGAUGCUGUCUCUA